UAGCGAAUGAAUAAGCAUGGUAUGAAUAGGUACAUAACGGAUAAUAAUCUCAUCUAGUUAUAUUAGUCAUAACAUAACAUAUACAGGAGUCUGUAAAAUGAGAAUUGGGAUAUAUAUAAUUAAAGGAUAUUAGGUAUAUAAACAAAACAUUUAUCUGAGGUAUAUGAGGUUAGGAGGGCAUUUUUAACUAAUUUUGUCGCCUAUUAUUAUAGGAGUGCAAACAUAAAUGUGCAUUGAGAGGUGGGUAUUAUUCAUU
RNAcentral lists this long non-coding RNA (256 nucleotides) under Prunus persica (peach). Its description in RNAcentral is "long non-coding RNA (PPER_LNC004017)". Lineage: Eukaryota; Viridiplantae; Streptophyta; Magnoliopsida; Rosales; Rosaceae. The record is from RNAcentral.